AGAGUUUGAUCCUGGCUCAGGACGAACGCUGGCGGCGUGCUUAACACAUGCAAGUCGAGCGAUGAAGUUUCUUCGGAAAUGGAUUAGCGGCGAACGGGUGAGGAACACGUGAAGAAUCUGCCCUCCACUUUGGGAUAACACCGGGAAACCGGUGCUAAUACCGAAUAUUGAAACAUAAGUGGCAUCACUGAGUUUUGAAAGAAUUUCGGUGGAGGAUGACUUCGCGGCCUAUCAGCUAGUUGGUGAGGUAAUGGCUCACCAAGGCAACGACGGGUAGCCGGCCUGAGAGGGCGACCGGCCACACUGGGACUGAGACACGGCCCAGACUCCUACGGGAGGCAGCAGUGGGGAAUAUUGGGCAAUGGAGGAAACUCUGACCCAGCGACGCCGCGUGCGGGAUGAAGGCCUUCGGGUUGUAAACCGCUUUCAGUAGGGAAGAAGCGAAAGUGACGGUACCUACAAAAGAAGCACCGGCUAACUAUGUGCCAGCAGCCGCGGUAAUACAUAGGGUGCAAGCGUUGUCCGGAAUUAUUGGGCGUAAAGAGCUCGUAUGUCGUUUGUUACGUCGGAUGUGAAAACCUGAGGCUCAACCUC
This 594-nucleotide ribosomal RNA is filed under the name uncultured Actinomycetes bacterium. RNAcentral describes it as "bacterial SSU rRNA". It matches the Rfam family "Bacterial small subunit ribosomal RNA", at positions 8 to 616 of the family's 1533-position model. The record is from RNAcentral. Lineage: Bacteria; Bacillati; Actinomycetota; Actinomycetes.